This 780-nucleotide ribosomal RNA is filed under the name uncultured bacterium. Its description in RNAcentral is "bacterial SSU rRNA". It matches the Rfam family "Bacterial small subunit ribosomal RNA", at positions 8 to 796 of the family's 1533-position model. The record is from RNAcentral.
AGAGUUUGAUCAUGGCUCAGGAUGAACGCUAGCGGCAGGCCUAAUACAUGCAAGUCGAACGGGUCGCAAGACUAGUGGCGCACGGGUGCGUAACACGUAGGUAACCUACCUUUUACUGGGGCAUAACGAUGGGAAACCAUCGCUAAUUCCGCAUGAGACAGUAGCCUGGCAUCAGGCAGUUGUUAAAGAUUUAUUGGUAAAAGAUGGGCCUGCGGCUGAUUAGCUAGUUGGUGGUGUAACGGACCACCAAGGCCAUGAUCAGUAGGGGUUCUGAGAGGAAGAUCCCCCACACUGGCACUGAGAUACGGGCCAGACUCCUACGGGAGGCAGCAGUAGGGAAUAUUGGGCAAUGGCGGAAACGCUGACCCAGCCAUGCCGCGUGCAGGAAGAAGGCGCUCAGCGUUGUAAACUGCUUUUGCCAGGGAAGAAUGAGCUCUACGGGUAGAGUCAGUGACGGUACCUGGUGAAUAAGCACCGGCUAACUCCGUGCCAGCAGCCGCGGUAAUACGGAGGGUGCAAGCGUUGUCCGGAUUUAUUGGGUUUAAAGGGUGCGUAGGUGGCUUGUUAAGUCUGGGGUGAAAGGCAGUGGCUCAACCACUCGCAGGGCCCUGGAUACUGGCAGGCUCGAGUGCGCGUGAGGCCGGUGGAACGGGGUGGUGUAGCGGUGAAAUGCAUAGAUACCAUCCAGAACACCGAUUGCGGAGGCAGCCGGCUAACGCGCAACUGACACUGAGGCACGAAAGCGUGGGGAGCAAACAGGAUUAGAUACCCUAGUAGUCC